RNAcentral lists this ribosomal RNA (503 nucleotides) under uncultured soil bacterium. RNAcentral's name for it is "bacterial SSU rRNA". It matches the Rfam family "Bacterial small subunit ribosomal RNA", at positions 26 to 527 of the family's 1533-position model. The record is from RNAcentral.
AGAGUGAACGCUGGCGGCAGGCCUAACACAUGCAAGUCGAACGGCAGCACGAGAGAGCUUGCUCUCUUGGUGGCGAGUGGCGGACGGGUGAGGAAUACGUCGGAAUCUGCCUUUUUGUGGGGGGAUAACGUAGGGAAACUUACGCUAAUACCGCAUACGACCUACGGGUGAAAGCGGAGGACCUUCGGGCUUCGCGCAGAAAGAUGAGCCGACGUCGGAUUAGCUAGUUGGAGGGGUAAUGGCCCACCAAGGCGACGAUCCGUAGCUGGUCUGAGAGGAUGAUCAGCCACACUGGGACUGAGACACGGCCCAGACUCCUACGGGAGGCAGCAGUGGGGAAUAUUGGACAAUGGGCGCAAGCCUGAUCCAGCCAUGCCGCGUGUGUGAAGAAGGCCUUCGGUUGUAAAGCACUUUUGUACGGAAGAAAGCAAUCGGUUAAUACCCGGUUGUACGAUGACGUACCGAAGAAUAAGCACGCUAACUCGUGCAGCAGCCGCGUAACG